CUACGGAGGGUGCAAGCGUUAUCCGGAUUUAUUGGGUUUAAAGGGUGCGUAGGCGGUUUGAUAAGUCAGCGGUGAAAUAUUUCAGCUUAACUGGAAGGGUGCCGUUGAUACUGUCGAGCUUGAAUUUAGUUGCUGUGGGUGGAAUGUGUGGUGUAGCGGGUAAAUGCAUAGAUAUCACACAGAAUAUCGAUUGCGAAGGCAGCUCACAAAGCUAAUAUUGACGCUGAUGCACGAAAGUGUGGGGAUCAAACAGGAUUAGAUACCCUGGUAGUCCACACUGUAAACGAUGAUAACUCGCUGUCGGCGAUACAUAGUCGGUGGCCAAGCGAAAGCGAUAAGUUAUCCACCUGGGGAGUACGACCGCAAGGUUGAAACUCAAAUGAAUUGACGGGG
Molecule: ribosomal RNA, 393 nt
Filed under: uncultured bacterium
Lineage: Bacteria
Description: partial 16S ribosomal RNA
Rfam family: Bacterial small subunit ribosomal RNA
Source: RNAcentral